Amblyraja radiata (thorny skate) is the source of this 226-nucleotide long non-coding RNA. RefSeq lists it as uncharacterized. The record is from RefSeq and is a predicted model, not a curated record. The transcript has 3 exons. Lineage: Eukaryota; Metazoa; Chordata; Chondrichthyes; Rajiformes; Rajidae.
CGCACCAACUGUUGCUAUUUUUAGAGCGUGAGAUCCCGCGGCUCCUCAGCGCCAGCUCUGCCAGCCACGCCGGCUGUUGCUAUAUUUAGAACGGGAGCGCCUGCGGCUCCAUAGCGUUGAGCUCUGCCGGCCGCGCCGGCCGUUGCUAUUUUUAUCCCGCCUCCACGACGGCAGCUGCACAAGAUGUGCCAGCUUCUCCGGACCCGCUGCCCCUCAGACACAAAGU